GUCUGCAUGGAGCCGACCUUGAAAUACCACCCUUUAAUGUUUGAUGUUCUAACGUGGACCCGUAAUCCGGGUUGCGGACAGUGUCUGGUGGGUAGUUUGACUGGGGCGGUCUCCUCCUAAAGAGUAACGGAGGAGCACGAAGGUUGGCUAAUCCUGGUCGGACAUCAGGAGGUUAGUGCAAUGGCAUAAGCCAGCUUGACUGCGAGCGUGACGGCGCGAGCAGGUGCGAAAGCAGGUCAUAGUGAUCCGGUGGUUCUGAAUGGAAGGGCCAUCGCUCAACGGAUAAAAGGUACUCCGGGGAUAACAGGCUGAUACCGCCCAAGAGUUCAUAUCGACGGCGGUGUUUGGCACCUCGAUGUCGGCUCAUCACAUCCUGGGGCUGAAGUAGGUCCCAAGGGUAUGGCUGUUCGCCAUUUAAAGUGGUACGCGAGCUGGGUUUAGAACGUCGUGAGACAGUUCGGUCCCUAUCUGCCGUGGGCGCUGGAGAACUGAGGGGGGCUGCUCCUAGUACGAGAGGACCGGAGUGGACGCAUCACUGGUGUUCGGGUUGUCAUGCCAAUGGCACUGCCCGGUAGCUAAAUGCGGAAGAGAUAAGUGCUGAAAGCAUCUAAGCACGAAACUUGCCCCGAGAUGAGUUCUCCCUGAGACUUUAGGUCUCCUGAAGGAACGUUGAAGACGACGACGUUGAUAGGCCGGGUGUGUAAGCGCAGCGAUGCGUUGAGCUAACCGGUACUAAUGAACCGUGAGGCUUAACCUUACAACGCCGAAG
Molecule: ribosomal RNA, 769 nt
Filed under: Salmonella enterica
Lineage: Bacteria; Pseudomonadati; Pseudomonadota; Gammaproteobacteria; Enterobacterales; Enterobacteriaceae
Also listed under: 1 other name
Description: partial 23S ribosomal RNA
Rfam family: Bacterial large subunit ribosomal RNA
Source: RNAcentral